UGUUCUUGUGUGCCAUUAGU
This 20-nucleotide non-coding RNA is filed under the name Rattus norvegicus (Norway rat). Lineage: Eukaryota; Metazoa; Chordata; Mammalia; Rodentia; Muridae. The record is from RNAcentral.